Delphinapterus leucas (beluga whale) is the source of this 1698-nucleotide non-coding RNA. The record is from RefSeq and is a predicted model, not a curated record. NCBI's taxonomy places the organism in Eukaryota, Metazoa, Chordata, Mammalia, Artiodactyla, Monodontidae.
UCUUACGCCCGUUUUAAGCUCUGAUCUUCCCCAGGAAUCUGACGCAAGCCCUCUGGGGACAGUCCUGAAGACAAGGUGCAAAGGAAGAGUGUAGUAGAGGGUCCAGGGUUCCUUGGAGAAAUGGCUGACUCCAGAUUUGGGACUGGGAGAGUACACGAUACUUGCCUUAAUACCGAUGCUAAAAAGAGAAUGAUCAGAAAGGACCCGAACGUGUCUCCUAACGUGAAUGUGAAAGGCUCGCUCUCGAGAGAAAAUGCAGACGUUGCCAUUUACACAUUUUAGUCCCAGCUCUGCAGUGUGGGCCUGGGAUUGUUGAGAAAACAGGCAAAUAGAGAAAUCAUAGAAGUAUUUCAACUGUGUGGGGAAAAAAAGAAUGCAGAGAUGAUUAUUCUUCCAUGUCCAGAACGUUUUAUGAGAUCUGGAUUUCUCCUUUACAUUCUGGGGCCAGGAUCCAACUGGCCCCUUCCAAAGCCCUGAACUCUUGAAAGAUGUGUGAAAAACAGCUGAUGUGAGACCACUGAGAAAUUAUAGGAGAAAUGCUAAUGAUAUCUGAGAGCAAAGAUCACACAGGUUACUAGACCAAAAGGAGACACUAUGGUGAUAAAGAAGAGCAGAAAAUGGAGAAGGAAGAACAAUGAUUGGGCACGAGAACAAAUCAUAUAAAUGCUCCAGUACGACCAGUCGACAAGCUGUAAUCAAAAUGGAACAGCAAUCCAUAAAGGCUUGCUAUAAAGUUAGGCAUUAUUCUCAUACUGUACAUACCUCUCAUUCCAUCUGAUACACGCAUUUUUUCCUCUUCUGAAGAAAACAACAGCUUGCUAAAGAGAAAUCGAAGUCUUUUGAGUCAUUAUCAACAAAUUUCAGAGACAGACAUUUGACACAAUCUUCUUGCAUCUUCCAAAACCUCUAUUUACUUACAGACAGCUGUAUAUGUCCUUUCAACAGGAAUUGGACUUUUUAAAGUAUUUAAGAUGAUUUUGCUAAUUGUGCUUCCAAUGAACUAAUAAAACAUGAAUAUGCAAAUGAUAAUAUUACAUGACAAAUGAGUAAGCUCUGCUGUAAUGGUGUAUGUUGUGAUGAAUUCUGCUGGUCUUGUAAUAAAUUCAUUUUCAAAGUACAGUCUUCCUAAGGGCAGUUCACAAACGGGAUCUGGAUUUUUCACAAUGGUAACCCUGGGGCUGAGUUUAGUCUGGAACCUAGAAGAUGCUCAGGGAUCAUCUGUUGAAUGAAUGAAAAAAUGAGAGGAAAAGAGACAAAGCCUAACAUUGUAGCUUAUAAUUUUAGAAGAAAAAUGAGCAAGAUAUUCACAAAUCAGCCUCGAUAUCAGUGUUUAUUUAGCCUACAUGAGCUUUGGACGGUGAAGCUACUGCCUGCUUUAAGAAAGGGGUAAAUGCUGAGAAAGCAGCUUGGGAAGAUCCAUGGUGAGAGAUGGAUUCCCACAUAGGAACGUGAACCAUGGUACCUGGUGGAACUCCUAUCUUGUAUGCAGAUGUUUGCAUAACAACAGUUUGCAAUGCCUUCAAUGUCUGUUAAAAUGACAAGUGGCUUUGUAUACAGUUAUAUUUUGGCAAUCGUCACUGAAAGAAUGAUUGUGAGGUAUAAAUCACUAAUAUUUAUGGUUUACAAAUGUAACUAAAUUAAAGGUCUUUUACAUUCCAUGAAAUCUAGGUCCAAUAAUGUAACAGCAGAUGUUCUAAA